GACGGAGGAUGCAAGUGUUAUCCGGAAUCACUGGGCGUAAAGCGUCUGUAGGUGGUUUAAUAAGUCAACUGUUAAAUCUUGAGGCUCAACCUCAAAAUCGCAGUCGAAACUAUUAGGCUAGAGUAUAGUAGGGGUAAAGGGAAUUUCAGUGGAGCGGUGAAAUGCGUAGAGAUUGGAAAGAACACCGAUGGCGAAGGCACUUUACUGGGCUAUUACUAACACUCAGAGACGAAAGCUAGGGUAGCAAAUGGG
This 252-nucleotide ribosomal RNA is filed under the name uncultured bacterium. RNAcentral's name for it is "partial 16S ribosomal RNA". It matches the Rfam family "Bacterial small subunit ribosomal RNA", at positions 524 to 776 of the family's 1533-position model. The record is from RNAcentral.